UUAAGCGACUAAGCGUACACGGUGGAUGCCCUGGCAGUCAGAGGCGAUGAAGGACGUGCUAAUCUGCGAUAAGCGUCGGUAAGGUGAUAUGAACCGUUAUAACCGGCGAUUUCCGAAUGGGGAAACCCAGUGUGAUUCGUCACACUAUCAUUAACUGAAUCCAUAGGUUAAUGAGGCGAACCGGGGGAACUGAAACAUCUAAGUACCCCGAGGAAAAGAAAUCAACCGAGAUUCCCCCAGUAGCGGCGAGCGAACGGGGAGGAGCCCAGAGCCUGAAUCAGUGUGUGUGUUAGUGGAAGCGUCUGGAAAGGCGCGCGAUACAGGGUGACAGCCCCGUACACAAAAAUGCACAUGCUGUGAGCUCGAUGAGUAGGGCGGGACACGUGGUAUCCUGUCUGAAUAUGGGGGGACCAUCCUCCAAGGCUAAAUACUCCUGACUGACCGAUAGUGAACCAGUACCGUGAGGGAAAGGCGAAAAGAACCCCGGCGAGGGGAGUGAAAAAGAACCUGAAACCGUGUACGUACAAGCAGUGGGAGCACAGAGCAAUCUGUGUGACUGCGUACCUUUUGUAUAAUGGGUCAGCGACUUAUAUUCUGUAGCAAGGUUAACCGAAUAGGGGAGCCGAAGGGAAACCGAGUCUUAACUGGGCGUUAAGUUGCAGGGUAUAGACCCGAAACCCGGUGAUCUAGCCAUGGGCAGGUUGAAGGUUGGGUAACACUAACUGGAGGACCGAACCGACUAAUGUUGAAAAAUUAGCGGAUGACUUGUGGCUGGGGGUGAAAGGCCAAUCAAACCGGGAGAUAGCUGGUUCUCCCCGAAAGCUAUUUAGGUAGCGCCUCGUGAAUUCAUCUCCGGGGGUAGAGCACUGUUUCGGCAAGGGGGUCAUCCCGACUUACCAACCCGAUGCAAACUGCGAAUACCGGAGAAUGUUAUCACGGGAGACACACGGCGGGUGCUAACGUCCGUCGUGAAGAGGGAAACAACCCAGACCGCCAGCUAAGGUCCCAAAGUCAUGGUUAAGUGGGAAACGAUGUGGGAAGGCCCAGACAGCCAGGAUGUUGGCUUAGAAGCAGCCAUCAUUUAAAGAAAGCGUAAUAGCUCACUGGUCGAGUCGGCCUGCGCGGAAGAUGUAACGGGGCUAAACCAUGCACCGAAGCUGCGGCAGCGACACUAUGUGUUGUUGGGUAGGGGAGCGUUCUGUAAGCCUGUGAAGGUGUGCUGUGAGGCAUGCUGGAGGUAUCAGAAGUGCGAAUGCUGACAUAAGUAACGAUAAAGCGGGUGAAAAGCCCGCUCGCCGGAAGACCAAGGGUUCCUGUCCAACGUUAAUCGGGGCAGGGUGAGUCGACCCCUAAGGCGAGGCCGAAAGGCGUAGUCGAUGGGAAACAGGUUAAUAUUCCUGUACUUGGUGUUACUGCGAAGGGGGGACGGAGAAGGCUAUGUUGGCCGGGCGACGGUUGUCCCGGUUUAAGCGUGUAGGCUGGUUUUCCAGGCAAAUCCGGAAAAUCAAGGCUGAGGCGUGAUGACGAGGCACUACGGUGCUGAAGCAACAAAUGCCCUGCUUCCAGGAAAAGCCUCUAAGCAUCAGGUAACAUCAAAUCGUACCCCAAACCGACACAGGUGGUCAGGUAGAGAAUACCAAGGCGCUUGAGAGAACUCGGGUGAAGGAACUAGGCAAAAUGGUGCCGUAACUUCGGGAGAAGGCACGCUGAUAUGUAGGUGAAGCGACUUGCUCGUGGAGCUGAAAUCAGUCGAAGAUACCAGCUGGCUGCAACUGUUUAUUAAAAACACAGCACUGUGCAAACACGAAAGUGGACGUAUACGGUGUGACGCCUGCCCGGUGCCGGAAGGUUAAUUGAUGGGGUCAGCGCAAGCGAAGCUCUUGAUCGAAGCCCCGGUAAACGGCGGCCGUAACUAUAACGGUCCUAAGGUAGCGAAAUUCCUUGUCGGGUAAGUUCCGACCUGCACGAAUGGCGUAAUGAUGGCCAGGCUGUCUCCACCCGAGACUCAGUGAAAUUGAACUCGCUGUGAAGAUGCAGUGUACCCGCGGCAAGACGGAAAGACCCCGUGAACCUUUACUAUAGCUUGACACUGAACAUUGAGCCUUGAUGUGUAGGAUAGGUGGGAGGCUUUGAAGUGUGGACGCCAGUCUGCAUGGAGCCGACCUUGAAAUACCACCCUUUAAUGUUUGAUGUUCUAACGUUGACCCGUAAUCCGGGUUGCGGACAGUGUCUGGUGGGUAGUUUGACUGGGGCGGUCUCCUCCUAAAGAGUAACGGAGGAGCACGAAGGUUGGCUAAUCCUGGUCGGACAUCAGGAGGUUAGUGCAAUGGCAUAAGCCAGCUUGACUGCGAGCGUGACGGCGCGAGCAGGUGCGAAAGCAGGUCAUAGUGAUCCGGUGGUUCUGAAUGGAAGGGCCAUCGCUCAACGGAUAAAAGGUACUCCGGGGAUAACAGGCUGAUACCGCCCAAGAGUUCAUAUCGACGGCGGUGUUUGGCACCUCGAUGUCGGCUCAUCACAUCCUGGGGCUGAAGUAGGUCCCAAGGGUAUGGCUGUUCGCCAUUUAAAGUGGUACGCGAGCUGGGUUUAGAACGUCGUGAGACAGUUCGGUCCCUAUCUGCCGUGGGCGCUGGAGAACUGAGGGGGGCUGCUCCUAGUACGAGAGGACCGGAGUGGACGCAUCACUGGUGUUCGGGUUGUCAUGCCAAUGGCACUGCCCGGUAGCUAAAUGCGGAAGAGAUAAGUGCUGAAAGCAUCUAAGCACGAAACUUGCCCCGAGAUGAGUUCUCCCUGACUCCUUGAGAGUCCUGAAGGAACGUUGAAGACGACGACGUUGAUAGGCCGGGUGUGUAAGCGCAGCGAUGCGUUGAGCUAACCGGUACUAAUGAACCGUGAGGCUUAACCUU
RNAcentral lists this ribosomal RNA (2903 nucleotides) under Escherichia coli. RNAcentral describes it as "bacterial LSU rRNA". It matches the Rfam family "Bacterial large subunit ribosomal RNA". Lineage: Bacteria; Pseudomonadati; Pseudomonadota; Gammaproteobacteria; Enterobacterales; Enterobacteriaceae. The record is from RNAcentral.